This 253-nucleotide ribosomal RNA is filed under the name uncultured bacterium. RNAcentral describes it as "partial 16S ribosomal RNA". It matches the Rfam family "Bacterial small subunit ribosomal RNA", at positions 524 to 776 of the family's 1533-position model. The record is from RNAcentral.
UACGGGGGGAGCAAGCGUUGUUCGGAUUUACUGGGCGUAAAGGGCGCGUAGGCGGCGCAACAAGUCACUUGUGAAAUCUCCGGGCUUAACCCGGAGCGGCCAAGUGAUACUGUCGUGCUAGAGUGCGGAAGGGGCUACUGGAAUUCUCGGUGUAGCGGUGAAAUGCGUAGAUAUCGAGAGGAACACCUGCGGCGAAGGCGGGUAGCUGGGCCGACACUGACGCUGAGGUACGAAGGCAUGGGUAUCGAUCGGG